Myodes glareolus (Bank vole) is the source of this 1643-nucleotide long non-coding RNA. RefSeq lists it as uncharacterized. The record is from RefSeq and is a predicted model, not a curated record. Lineage: Eukaryota; Metazoa; Chordata; Mammalia; Rodentia; Cricetidae.
UUGGGAACUUUGGCCAGAGGUUGAAGUUGACCAUUGCUCUUUUUAAAACAGGGUUUCUCCCUGAACAUGGUGCUCACCGUCCUAGUUAGACUGGCUGAGCAAUGAGACCGGUCUCUGCCCGUCAACACUGGUGUUGCAGGUGCCGACAGCCAUGCUGUCUGUCCGUUUUAUAUGAGUCCUGGGAUUUGUAUGUGUGUGUUGUUUGCUGUUGUUACUUCUUCCAGCUUCCGGUGUAGACUGAAACCAGCAUUUCUCCAGGGAUCUUCCAGGUCUUGGGGGCUGGAUUGGGACUGCUGGGAUAUCCAGCCUCGUGUCCAGCCUCACUGAGCAACUACUAGAUCCUGAGCCCCUGCAGUGUGAGGAAGCUCUUAUUGGACUACCCGGACCGCAUCCUAGCAGACGAUGAUGACGACAAUGACAACAAUGACGAUAGUAGUGAUGUAACUUUUAGAGUCCCUGGAUGGUAUCAAGAGAUUUGUAGGCCCAAUGUCCAGCAAAACAGCCACAACUGCUGGAAAAGGGAAUUGUUGGAAAGGGGAGAGCAGUCAUCAGGCCGUUGGUGGAGCCCCACAGCCGGACUGUGGUUGAAUAGCGAGGGACAGCUGCACAGGGUCGGAGGAGGAGGCCGAGAGCUCUGCUGAAGCCACCGCCAUCCCUGGGUAGCUGCACGUGCCAGAGGAUUUCCACAGUGGACUUGGAGCAAGGAUAUGAUUUCAUUAAGACCAGAGCCAAGUCAGUGAACAGAGACAUAGUCUAUUGCAAAGCCUUUGCAGCAUACAGAACAGAAAACAACAGCAGAAGUAAUAAUGGAGAAAAAGAAGAGAAUCUCUGAGAAACAUGGGCCAACACUGUGUUACAUGAACUCAAGCACAACAGGAAUACCAGAAGGGGAGGAAGCAACACUGUACGUGAACCCACACACAACAGGAAUACCAGAAGGGGAGGAAGCAAUACUGCGUACGUGAACCCAUAUACAACAGGAAUACCAGAAGGGGGGAAGCAACAUACACAGGAAAACAUGUCCAAAGAAAUGCGGCUGGAAAUAUACUGCAUCUGAUGAAGAUCAGUCUAGAUGACUCAAAACCUCAAUACAUCAUAAGAAUAAAACCAAGAGCCCAACAAACAGAUACAUCAUGUUUAAAUGUUUAAAUAAAAGAUAAGAAAAGGGCCACAAAAUGAAGGGGCUUUGCCACCAAGCCUGACAGCGUGAGUUCACCCCUGGUCACCACGGGGUAGAAGGAGAGAACUGACGCCCACCGUUGUCCUUUGAGUAGAAUAAAUCUUUUUUUUAGAAGGAAAUAAAUAGAGAAACAAUUUUAGAGACAUCAAAAACAGUUGAUACUAUAGGUAAAUCAAUAAAGCCCCCCCCAAAAAAAAGGCUGAUCAGUAAAAAUUAUGAACUGCUUGGAGCUAACAGACCUAGCAUUAGCAGGGCUACGUUCUGUUUGGAGUGGAUAAGAAAGAAUGAGGGAUCAGGGAUCAGCGAGCUGAGUAGGCACCUUGGACCACAGAGGAUGCAGAGGAAACUCUCUGUGUUGAUGGACAGGCUCCUAGAGAAAUGAUGGUACUGGAAGCCUAUUUUGACCUAUGGUGGGUUAAUUGUGUGUGAGGAUGGUUAAAUAAACUUCAGCUGGUGUAGGAGA